This is a long non-coding RNA of Cyprinodon tularosa, 286 nucleotides long. RefSeq lists it as uncharacterized. The record is from RefSeq and is a predicted model, not a curated record. Lineage: Eukaryota; Metazoa; Chordata; Actinopteri; Cyprinodontiformes; Cyprinodontidae. The transcript has 3 exons.
CGACGCAAAGGUGGAAUCCACACUUGUCGAGUUUGAUGAAGAUAGAAGCAGUUUUUCUGUAAUAUUUUGUUUAGUUCACCAGCAUUUUGGACAACUUGUGAAGUGGAGAAGAUGAUCCUGUUGCUCAUCAUCAUCAACAUCAGCUCAUGUCUCUGUGCACCAACAUUUGUAGUGAAAGUGACACAGAGCUCCUAUCAGGCAGAGGAGAACCACAACAUCACUCUGGAGUGGACCUUCACCACCAGACCUCAGGGAUCCUGGACAAAACUGACUGUUAUCUGCAGUA